Molecule: ribosomal RNA, 915 nt
Filed under: uncultured marine archaeon
Lineage: Archaea
Description: bacterial SSU rRNA
Rfam family: Archaeal small subunit ribosomal RNA
Source: RNAcentral
UUCCGGUUGAUCCUGCCGGAGGCUACCGCUAUUGGAGUUCGAUUAAGCCAUGCGAGUCGCGAGUCUUAGGGACUCGGCGUACCGCUCAGUAACACGUGGGUAACCUGCCCUAUGCUGGGGGAUAACCUCGGGAAACUGAGAAUAAUACCCCAUAGUUCACCACGCCUGGAACGGUGGGUGGACCAAAGCUCCGGCGGCAUAGGAUGGGCCUGCGGCGUAUCAGGUUGUAGGGGGUGUAAUGUACCCUCUAGCCCUCUACGCGUACGGGUGUUGAGAGACAUCGCCCGGAGAUGGAUUCUGAGACACGAAUCCAGACCCCACGGGGUGCAGCAGGCGCGAAAACUUGGCAAUGCGAGAAAUCGUGACCAGGGAACUCCAAGUGCAUCGGGUAAGACCGAUGCUUUUCUUGACUCUUCAAAGGUCUUGGAAUAAGGGGUGGGUAAGGACGGUGCCAGCCGCCGCGGUAAUACCGGCGCCCCAAGUGGUAGUCGCUUUUAUUGGGCCUAAAACGUCCGUAGCCGGUCUGGUACAUUCGUGGGUAAAUCAACCAGCUCAACUGGUUGAAUUCUGCGAGCACGGCCAGACUUGGGACCGGGAGAGGUGUGGGGUACUCUCAGGGUAGGGGUAAAAUCCUGUCAUCCUGAGAGGACCACCUGUUGCGAAGGCGCCACACUAGAACGGAUCCGACGGUCAGGGACGAAGCCUAGGGGCACGAACCGGAUUAGAUACCCGGGUAGUCCUAGGUGUAAACGCUGUGGACUUGAUGUUGGGGGCGCUCCGAGCGCACUCAGUGUCGAAGCGAAGGUGAUAAGUCCACUGCCUGGGGAGUACGGUCGCAAGGCUGAAACUUAAAGGAAUUGGCGGGGGAGCACCGCAACCUGAGGAUUGUGCGGUUUAAUUGGAGUCAACGCCGGA